Molecule: ribosomal RNA, 511 nt
Filed under: Rhithrogena semicolorata
Lineage: Eukaryota; Metazoa; Arthropoda; Insecta; Ephemeroptera; Heptageniidae
Description: partial 16S ribosomal RNA
Rfam family: Bacterial large subunit ribosomal RNA
Source: RNAcentral
CGCCUUUUGUAAAGAUAGAAGGUCUAGCCUGCCCACUGAAUCAGUUAAAGGGCCGCGGUAUAUUGACCGUGCAAAGGUAGCAUAAUCAUUAGUCUUCUAAUUAAAGGCUGGAAUGAAUGGCUGGACGAGGUAUUAGCUGUCUCCUUAAGAUAGCCCAGAAAUUAACUUUUUAGUCAAAAGGCUGAAAUAAGAUUGUAGGACGAGAAGACCCUAUAGAGCUUUAUAUCACAAAUAUGUAGCUUGUUUUGACGGAGUUUAGCUUAAUAUGGGAGAUAUUUUGUUGGGGUGACAGGAAGAUAUAAGAAACUCUUCUUUUAGUAGACCAUAAAUACAUGAAUUAAAUGAUCCAGUAAGAGUGAUUAAAAGACUAAGUUACCUUAGGGAUAACAGCGUAAUCUUUUUUGAGAGUUCAAAUCGACAAAAAGGGUUGCGACCUCGAUGUUGGACUAAGGGUUAUUCUUGGGUGUAGAAGUUCAAGGUUUGGGUCUGUUCGACCCUUGAAUCCUUACAU